Non-coding RNA from Pelobates cultripes (western spadefoot toad), 207 nucleotides. The record is from the annotation of a GenBank genome assembly. NCBI's taxonomy places the organism in Eukaryota, Metazoa, Chordata, Amphibia, Anura, Pelobatidae.
GGUUAGCUCUUAACCUCACAGCAGAAAGGACAGGACAUAGAACUCUGAAAUUGAUAUAAAUAGAUCCACCCCUUCCCAACAGGCAGUCUUUUUUGCCGUCCUUCACAGCAGUUUGGAAAGAGUCUCUUAAGCAGGUCUAAAUUUAUUUAUUUCAUGCUCACCAGGCCAAUACUUUUGUGGCCCGGUCACGAUUCAGCCUCUGAGGCC